Molecule: ribosomal RNA, 301 nt
Filed under: uncultured bacterium
Lineage: Bacteria
Description: partial 16S ribosomal RNA
Rfam family: Bacterial small subunit ribosomal RNA
Source: RNAcentral
CAGCCGCCGCGGGAAUACGAAGGGGGCUAGCGUUGUUCGGAAUUACUGGGCGUAAAGCGCACGUAGGCGGAUAUUUAAGUCAGGGGUGAAAUCCCAGAGCUCAACUCUGGAACUGCCUUUGAUACUGGGUAUCUUGAGUAUGGAAGAGGUGAGUGGAAUUCCGAGUGUAGAGGUGAAAUUCGUAGAUAUUCGGAGGAACACCAGUGGCGAAGGCGGCUCACUGGUCCAUUACUGACGCUGAGGUGCGAAAGCGUGGGGAGCAAACAGGAUUAGAGACCCCCGUAGUCCCUGUCUCUUAUAC